CCUACGGGGGGCUGUAGUGAGGAAUAUUGGUCAAUGGACGAGAGUCUGAACCAGCCAAGUAGCGUGAAGGAUGACUGCCCUAUGGGUUGUAAACUUCUUUUAUAUGGGAAUAAAACGUUCCACGUGUGGGAUUUUGUAUGUACCAUAUGAAUAAGGAUCGGCUAACUCCGUGCCAGCAGCCGCGGUAAUACGGAGGAUCCGAGCGUUAUCCGGAUUUAUUGGGUUUAAAGGGAGCGUAGGUGGAUUGUUAAGUCAGUUGUGAAAGUUUGCGGCUCAACCGUAAAAUUGCAGUUGAAACUGGCAGUCUUGAGUACAGUAGAGGUGGGCGGAAUUCGUGGUGUAGCGGUGAAAUGCUUAGAUAUCACGAAGAACUCCGAUUGCGAAGGCAGUUCACUGGACUGCAACAGACACUGAGGCUCGAAAGUGUGGGUAUCAAACAGGAUUAGAUACCCCGGUAGUC
Molecule: ribosomal RNA, 460 nt
Filed under: uncultured bacterium
Lineage: Bacteria
Description: partial 16S ribosomal RNA
Rfam family: Bacterial small subunit ribosomal RNA
Source: RNAcentral